UCUUCUCUCUUCUGAACUUGAUUCCUUCUUCUCCCAGUCCGUCCAAAAUCAAAAUACAGCUUCUAUCAAGCUCUUCUAAGUUCUAAGCUCUCCUUUAAUCCCAAAACUAAUCUCCAUUCUCUCGUUUAAAUCCCUCCUUAAACCCCUUUCUUAAUCUCCUUUUUCUCUCCCUACCCAUUUCCCCUGUUCCCAUUUCCCCUUCUGGGUCUCGCCAUUUCUCUUAGGGCUGCUGCGGAGCAAUUCGCCUUAUGACUGAGCCCGGGAGGAUUCUGAGCUAGAUCUUUAAUGGCGAGUAACCACAUUAACUCCUCUGCUUAUGGUGGGGAUGUUCUCGAUUCUACUAAGCUCUCGCUUUCCUCCUCUGCUUCUUUCAAGCCUCGUAAGAAGCCCAAUGUUGCUGCCCCGCCAAUUUCACGUGCUGGCUCUGAUGUGGAUGAUAUUAUUACUCUCUUGCACGGUUCUGAUCCAGUCCGCGUCGAGCUCAAUCGCCUCGAGAAUGAAGUUCGAGAUAAGGACAGAGAACUGGGGGAGGCUCUUGCUGAAGUUAAGUCAUUAAAAAAUUCCGAACGGCUCAAAGAGAGGGCUGUUGAAGAGUUAACAGAUGAGUUGAAGAAAGUAGAUGAAAAGCUCAAGGCAACUGAAGCUCUUUUGGAAAGCAAGAACCUUGAAAUCAAGAAGAUUAAUGAUGAGAAAAAGGCUGCAUUAGCUGCCCAAUUUGCUGCUGAAGCCACCCUUCGAAGGGUACACACCGCUCAAAAAGAUGAUGAAAUGCCUCCAAUUGAGGCCAUUAUAGCACCAUUGGAGGCAGAGCUUAAGCUAGCCCGGCUGGAGGUAGCAAAGUUGCAAGAUGACAAUAGAGCUCUGGAUAGACUUACAAAAUCCAAGGAGGCUGCAUUGCUUGAGGCCGAGAGAACCGUCCAGAUUGCUUUGGCAAAAGCAUCCAUGGUUGAUGACUUACAAAAUAAAAACCAAGAGUUAAUGAAGCAAAUUGAAAUAUGCCAGGAGGAGAAUAAGAUAUUAGACAAGCUGCACAGACAAAAGGUUGCAGAAGUUGAAAGGCUAAUGCAAACUGUCCGGGAGCUCGAGGAGGCUGUCUUGGCUGGUGGUGCUGCUGCCAAUGCUGUGCGUGAUUACCAGCGAAAAGUGAAAGAGAUGAGUGAUGAAAUAAGAACUUUAGAACGUGAGGUAGCUCGUGCAAAAGUUACCGCCAACAGGGUUGCUACUGUUGUUGCUAAUGAAUGGAAAGACGCAAAUGAUAAAGUGAUGCCAGUAAAACAAUGGCUUGAAGAAAGAAGAUUUUUUCAGGGAGAAAUGCAGCAACUUCGUGAAAAACUAGCAGUUGCUGAGCGCACUGCAAAAGCUGAAGCACAAAUGAAAGAAAAAUAUCAAUUGCGCUUCAAGGUUUUGGAGGAAAAGCUUAGAUCAUCUAAUGGUAACCCGAAAUUUGCUUCUGAAGGAAGAAGCAUAAGCACGGGACCUUCGAGACGUCAAUCUCUUGGAGGAGCAGAGCUAUCUAAACUGUCUUCAAAUGGCUAUUUAUCCAGGAGAAAUACAAACUCGCACACAGGAUCGCUCCAGUCGAAUAGUGUCAGUGCAUUGUUGAAGACUACUACAAAACUCUCUUCUAGAUCAUUUGAUGGUGGUAGUAGAUCACUGGAAAGAGAGAAGCUUGUGCAGGAUGCGGCAGUAAAAGAUACGUCAGACACAGCGACCAGUGGUGAGACGAUCGUUCCAUACGAAGAAAAUGAAGACGGUAUUGCAGUCGAAAAAACCAAAACAGAGCAAGAAGAUUCCGUUUCUGGAGCAUUGUAUGAUAUGUUACAGAAAGAAGUCAUAUCUCUUAGGAAAGCUUGUCAUGAGAAGGAUGUAACCCUCAGAGACAAGGAUGAUGCAAUUGAGAUGUUAGCAAAGAAGGUCGAUACUUUGAAUAAAGCAAUGGAGGUUGAAGCAAAGAAAAUGCGAAGAGAAGUAGUGGCAAUGGAGAAGGAACUCGCUGCUAUGCGUGUAAGCAGGGAGAGCGAUCAAAGGCCUCGACGCCAGAGUGCACCUAGAGGGGCUGUAGUUGGUUCUCAGUCACUUCCUGUCAGGAGUAUCCGAAACAGAUAGGGGGUUCGACAUGGGAAUACACAGCGAUGAAAUGACUUUUUUUCUCGACAAUAUUGUCAAUAUAAUUGUAUUUUAUGAUGUCAUAAAACAUUGCUCCUCCUUUGCCUUCGUCUCCGUGGAGCAAUGUUGGGAAAUUUUAUGUAUUUGUAAAGAAACUAACACGAGGAAUUCAUCCUGUGUCUGUAUAUUUUUGUACCAAUGGUAUGAAGAACAGCAAAUGGAAGUUUAUAUAUUAGGCGAUGGAUAACUUUGUAUUCUGUCACCUACAGGUAGAUUGAAUUUUUGGCAUAAAACUCAAUAUUCAUGUUAAAUGAUUAAUAUGUUAUAUUUGUUUUGAUCA
This is an RNA transcript of Cucurbita moschata (crookneck pumpkin), 2446 nucleotides long. It is a transcript of the gene named microtubule-associated protein 70-2-like, with no coding region annotated. Lineage: Eukaryota; Viridiplantae; Streptophyta; Magnoliopsida; Cucurbitales; Cucurbitaceae. The transcript is spliced from 12 exons. The record is from RefSeq and is a predicted model, not a curated record.